UACGAAGGGGGCUAGCGUUGUUCGGAAUUACUGGGCGUAAAGCGCACGUAGGCGGGUUGUUAAGUCAGGGGUGAAAUCCCGGAGCUCAACUCCGGAACUGCCUUUGAUACUGGCAACCUAGAGGCUGGAAGAGGUGAGUGGAAUUCCCAGUGUAGAGGUGAAAUUCGUAGAUAUUGGGAAGAACACCAGUGGCGAAGGCGGCUCACUGGUCCAGUACUGACGCUGAGGUGCGAAAGCGUGGGGAGCAAACAGG
This 253-nucleotide ribosomal RNA is filed under the name uncultured bacterium. RNAcentral's name for it is "partial 16S ribosomal RNA". It matches the Rfam family "Bacterial small subunit ribosomal RNA", at positions 524 to 776 of the family's 1533-position model. The record is from RNAcentral.